RNAcentral lists this ribosomal RNA (414 nucleotides) under uncultured bacterium. RNAcentral describes it as "bacterial SSU rRNA". It matches the Rfam family "Bacterial small subunit ribosomal RNA", at positions 508 to 920 of the family's 1533-position model. The record is from RNAcentral.
UCAGCAGCCGCGGUAAUACGUAGGGGGCGAGCGUUGUCCGGAAUUACUGGGCGUAAAGGGCGUGUAGGCGGUCAAAUAAGUCAGGUGUUUAAGCUGCCGGCUCAACCGGGAGAGUGCACCUGAAACUGUAUGACUUGAGGGCAGGAGAGGGAAGUGGAAUUCCUAGUGUAGCGGUGAAAUGCGUAGAUAUUAGGAGGAACACCAGUGGCGAAGGCGACUUCCUGGCCUGGCCCUGACGCUGAGGCGCGAAAGCGUGGGGAGCAAACAGGAUUAGAUACCCUGGUAGUCCACGCCGUAAACGAUGGGUACUAGGUGUUGGGGGUAUCGACCCCCUCAGUGCCGCAGCAAACGCAAUAAGUACCUCGCCUGGGGAGUACGGCCGCAAGGUUGAAACUUAAAGGAAUUGGCGGGGGA